This 212-nucleotide long non-coding RNA is filed under the name Malus domestica (apple). RNAcentral's name for it is "long non-coding RNA (MDOM_LNC011107)". The record is from RNAcentral. Lineage: Eukaryota; Viridiplantae; Streptophyta; Magnoliopsida; Rosales; Rosaceae.
CAUUGAAUGGAAUUGGUGUCAUUUUGUAUCGGAUACAAUAUAUUAAUAAAAUUAAACCAUAAAUUGUUAACAGGUCUGGUGGUAUUCCUUUUCACUAGUAAGUGAGAGGUCUUAAAUUCGAUUUUUGCCAAAGACAAAUUUGAACAACAUUAUUGCUAACCUAUUGUGAGACUAAGCCCACCCCCUCCUCUUACUGUAGAUAAUAUUGAUUG